This 401-nucleotide ribosomal RNA is filed under the name uncultured bacterium. RNAcentral's name for it is "bacterial SSU rRNA". It matches the Rfam family "Bacterial small subunit ribosomal RNA", at positions 356 to 773 of the family's 1533-position model. The record is from RNAcentral.
GGGGGAUAUUGCGCAAUGGGGGAAACCCUGACGCAGCAACGCCGCGUGAAGGAAGAAGGCCUUCGGGUCGUAAACUUUUGUCUUCUGGGACGAAACAUGACGGUACCAGAGGAGGAAGCCACGGCUAACUACGUGCCAGCAGCCGCGGUAAUACGUAGGUGGCGAGCGUUGUCCGGAAUUACUGGGUGUAAAGGGCGCGUAGGCGGGACUGCAAGUCAGAUGUGAAAUACCGGGGCUCAACCCCGGGGCUGCAUUUGAAACUGUAGUUCUUGAGUGCAGGAGAGGAAAGCGGAAUUCCUAGUGUAGCGGUGAAAUGCGUAGAGAUUAGGAGGAACACCAGUGGCGAAGGCGGCUUUCUGGACUGUAACUGACGCUGAGGCGCGAAAGCGUGGGGAGCGAAC